Molecule: long non-coding RNA, 682 nt
Organism: Mauremys reevesii (Reeves's turtle)
Lineage: Eukaryota; Metazoa; Chordata; Testudines; Geoemydidae
Exons: 3
Source: RefSeq, a predicted model, not a curated record
CUGCUACAAGUGGCAACAUAGUUUUCAGCAGGUUGGACUUAGACUGAACAUUGGUCUCAUUCCAGAAUUCUUGGAUUCCUGGGGCUAAAUUCAGCUCAAGAAGCAGAAAAAACAAAAUGCAAAAGAACAUCCAUCCCCUCUUGGAGGCCACACCAGAGAGAUUCUGCACAUAGCUCUCCUUCCAGGCUAUGGGUAGAAGACUAGGGUACAUAGCUGGCUGACAUCCAACUGACUGAGGACCAUAAAGGAGGCACCACUUGCACUGUACUUCAAACUGACAGUUACAGUCAGUUAAGAGAGGGACAGAUCCUGCCAGGAUCAAAAACAUCUCCGCACAAAGCAAAUUAGGGAUGCAAUGACAAAUAUCCUCCUACCCCCGCGCGCAACUCCUUGCUACACCCCAGCAUCUAGCAAGAGAGUUUUCAGGAGCACAGAGCCUAGUUGUGGGUCGAAGCUCCUACUUUUCCUUCAGUUGCUCCACUGCUGUUUGUGCAGAGCAGAGUGAUGGGUAGGAGUGCACAGAAAGAGCCCGGGGGAAGGGAGAUUUCACAUAAGUGCUUAUCUCCUUUACUGAGUGGUUCUGCACCUCUCACCUGUGGAAUGGCUGUAGAGCUACUCCACAACAGCUUUCUAUACUGGGCCCAACUCUGUUGGGCUGCUAUAAAAAUAGGUCAACACAGCA